GAUGAAGAACGUAGCGAAAUGCGAUAAGUAAUGUGAAUUGCAGAAUUCAGUGAAUCAUCGAAUCUUUGAACGCACCUUGCACCCUUUGGUAUUCCGAAGGGUAUGCUCGUUUGAGUGUCAUUGUACUCUCACACUUCUAAUUCCUUUCGGGAUUGGGAGCGGUGGACUUGGGUGUUGCUGCUUUAGUUGUGGCUCACCUCAAAUAAGUUAGUGCAACUCUUGGUUGGACAUAGUACGGCGUGAUAAGUGUCUGCGCCGGCGCCUCUGUAAGGAGGGUGGCCGAUCGGGAGCUCUGUGCUUCAAACCGUCUUCGGACAAUCUUUGACAACUUGACCUCAAAUCGAGUAGGACUACCCGCUGAACUUAAGCAUAUCAAUAAGCGGAGGA
RNAcentral lists this unclassified non-coding RNA (387 nucleotides) under soil metagenome. Its description in RNAcentral is "partial contains 5.8S ribosomal RNA, internal transcribed spacer 2, and large subunit ribosomal RNA". The stretch from base 1 to 120 matches the Rfam family "5.8S ribosomal RNA", at positions 35 to 154 of the family's 154-position model. The record is from RNAcentral.